UUGAAAGGGAAACGAUUGAAGUCAGUCGUACCAGCGGGAAAUCAACCUUUCGAGUGUUGUUUUGGAGUUUUGAAGUGUGUCAAAACCUUUGAGAUUUUAAAAUUUUCGCUCUUUUGGUGUACUUUCUCGUGGGUAGGUUAACAUCGAUUUUGAUCAUCAUAAAAAGACUGGAGGAAUGUAGCUUCGAUCUUGUAUUGAAGUGUUAUAGCCUUUGGUAAAUGUGAUGAUUAGGAUCGAGGAUUGCAACGAAUACCCUUCUGGGCUAUCCGCCUGAUCUCUGAUACGUGGCCUUGGCAUCGAAAGCUUGCUUAUGGUAUCAAGGUAUUACGGUCAAAAGGUUAGAACGGAUUACAUUCGUUAAGGAUGUUGACGUA
Molecule: ribosomal RNA, 374 nt
Filed under: uncultured Glomeromycotina
Lineage: Eukaryota; Fungi; Glomeromycota
Description: LSU rRNA
Source: RNAcentral